Molecule: long non-coding RNA, 937 nt
Filed under: Zonotrichia albicollis (white-throated sparrow)
Lineage: Eukaryota; Metazoa; Chordata; Aves; Passeriformes; Passerellidae
Description: lncRNA (ENSZALG00000002139.1)
Source: RNAcentral
GGUGUGGUGGUCAGUGAAUGGCACGGACUUUAAAGGGUGUGGAGUGGUCACUGAAUGGUGGUGAGUGGUCAUUAAAGGUGUUCAGUGGUCAUUAAAGAGGGUUUGGUGGUCAGCGGAUGGUGUGGAUUGGUCAAUAAAGGAAGUGAGGUGGUCAGUGGAUGGGUUUGGUGGUCAUUAAAGGCUGUCCAGUGGUCAGUGGAUGGGUUUGGUGGUCAGUGGAUGGUGUGAAAUGGUCAAAAAGGGGAGGGGAGUGGUCAUUAAGGAGAAGGGAGUGGUCAGUGGCCUGGGUUUGGUGGGCAGUGAGUGGCGUGGGGUGGUCAAUAAAGGGUGUCCAGUGGUCAGUGGAUGGGUUUGGUGGUCAGUGCAUGGUGUGAAAUGGUCAGUAAGGGGAGAGGAGUGGUCAAUAACAAAUGUCCAGUGGUCAGUGGAUGGCGUGGAGUGGUCAGUGCCUGGCGUGGGGGUCACUCAGCAGUCCCAGUGGUCAGUGUUGGUCAGUGGUCAGUGCCUGCUGUGGGGUCAGUGCCUGGCGUGGGGGUCACUCAGCAGUCCCAGUGGUCAGUGUUGGUCAGUGGUCAGUGCCUGCUGUGGCCCCAGCGCUCACUCAGAGCCGUUCCCGCUCAAUAAAUUCCCAUUUUUCCCUUUCCCCCCUCAAUUCCACCCCUGGCCGGGCUCCAGAAGGGAUUUUACUGCAAAACCUCAGAAUUUACUUUUACUGCAAAACUUCAGAAUUUACAAACUCCAGAAAGGAUUUUACUGCAAAACCUCCGAAUUUACUUUUACUGCAAAACCUCCAAAUUUACAAACUCCAGAGCGGAUUUUACUGCAAAACCCCAGAAUUUACAAACUCCAGAAUUUACUUUUACUGCAAAACUUGAGAAUUUACUUUUACUGCAAAACCCCAGAAUUUACAAAUCCAGAAGGGAUUUUACUGCAAACC